RNAcentral lists this ribosomal RNA (497 nucleotides) under uncultured bacterium. RNAcentral's name for it is "partial 16S ribosomal RNA". It matches the Rfam family "Bacterial small subunit ribosomal RNA", at positions 28 to 507 of the family's 1533-position model. The record is from RNAcentral.
GAUGAACGCUGGCGGCGUGCCUAAUACAUGCAAGUCGAGCGAACGGACGAGAAGCUUGCUUCUCUGAUGUUAGCGGCGGACGGGUGAGUAACACGUGGAUAACCUACCUAUAAGACUGGGAUAACUUCGGGAAACCGGAGCUAAUACCGGAUGAUAUUUUGAACCGCAUGGUUCAAAAGUGAAAGACGGUCUUGCUGUCACUUAUAGAUGGAUCCGCGCUGCAUUAGCUAGUUGGUAAGGUAACGGCUUACCAAGGCAACGAUGCAUAGCCGACCUGAGAGGGUGAUCGGCCACACUGGUACUGAGACACGGUCCAGACUCCUACGGGAGGCAGCAGUAGGGAAUCUUCCGCAAUGGGCGAAAGCCUGACGGAGCAACGCCGCGUGAGUGAUGAAGGUCUUCGGAUCGUAAAACUCUGUUAUUAGGGAAGAACAUAUGUGUAAGUAACUGUGCACAUCUUGGCGGUACCUAAUCAGAAAGCCACGGCUAACUACGUG